UUGGAAAUUUAAUUUUGCGCCUGGAAAAAGU
RNAcentral lists this non-coding RNA (31 nucleotides) under Mus musculus (house mouse). Lineage: Eukaryota; Metazoa; Chordata; Mammalia; Rodentia; Muridae. The record is from RNAcentral.